RNAcentral lists this long non-coding RNA (1699 nucleotides) under Homo sapiens (human). Its description in RNAcentral is "HSALNT0390664". Lineage: Eukaryota; Metazoa; Chordata; Mammalia; Primates; Hominidae. The record is from RNAcentral.
AGGAAAUAAAAGCUGGCCACCCAAACUGGUAGAGGCAACUGCGCUCAGGUCUCCUUCCGGUGUGUGGGUUGUUUGUUCUUUUGCUCUUCGCAGUAAAUUUUGCUGGUGCUCAGUCCUUGGGUCUGCACUACCUUUAUGAGCUGUAAGACUGACUGUGCAGGUCUGCGGCUUCAUUUCUGAAGUCAGCAAGACCAUGAACCCACCAGAAGGAAGAAACAAACUCUGGACACAUCUGAACAUCUGAAGGAAAAAAUUCCGGACACACCAUCUUUAAGAACUGUGACACUCACCGCAAGGGUCUGUGGCUUCAUUCUUGAAGCAAUGAGACGAAGAACCCACCAGAAGGAACCAAUUCCGGACACAUUUUGGCGACCACAAAGGGAAAAUCGACUAUCACCAAGCGGCUUGGGUAUGUCCUUAUCAGCAGCAUGAAAAUGGACUAAUACAAAUAUGCUGAGUUAAGUCCUGGACAAGAAACACUUUGCCAACCUCUGGACUAGACUGAGUAAAGCAAGCAGAAAGAUCCAAUUUUAAAAAGAGGUGAGGAAAAUGGGACAACUUGGCUAUGGAGAGAGCAAGAAGAAUGCAACUGAUGUGCACAAAGUUUGAAGACAAAGUUACUCAGUUUAGAUCAGGGGUCCACAACCCCCAGCCAUGGACCAGUACUGAUUUGUGGCCUGUUAGGAACUCAGUUGCAGUAGGAGGUGAAUGCCAGAGUUCCCGGAGCCUUCACUGUCUUCAUGAUUAGAUCCCUCCAUACUCUCCAUCACUAAUGCCUUGGCUGGAGAUUACCAUUCAGAGACCAUGUACUGAGCAGAUAAAUGCCAAUCAUCACAGCAUUGUCUCAGGCCUAAAUGAAUAAAGGCAUGACACUGAGAUUGAAGGCUAGUUCUACUUCAGAACCACAGAGACAUGAGCACCAGCAAGUUUGAGGUUGGAUAAGGAUCUUCAGAACUCCUCAGCUUCAGAUGGUCAAGCACUGCUUCCUCCCUUCUUCAACGGCAUCUCUAGCAUGUAUACUUCCCUUAAAUCCACCUUCGUAGCAUUUGCUGAUGGAAGAGGCACAACAGAGUCCAUGCCUUCACCUCCUCUGGCCAACUCUAAUCAUGAAUCUCCUGUGAAUCAGCUGGGAAACAUGCAGAAUAUGAGAUUGGGGCCCUCAUUCAUACUAACUGGAAUUUUCCUUGGCAAUGGUAGAACAGAAGCUUCUCCAUUCUUUACAGAUGAAUUUGCUUUAAGUAAGAUCUUCCCAGAGUACAAAAGAAAUUUAUUCGGAAAAUUUCAAACUAAUAUCCUUUGCAAGGUGAGCUACACCUCUGAGAGGAGCUCCUGGAAAUUACCAGAUACUUAAUGUUGCCAGCUGUUACAGAUGGAGGUGAUGCACCUUGAUGAUGCAUAAGUACUGAGCCUGAAUCCUACAAAUGGGAAAAGGUGCUCAUAUCAGACUUAUGCAUUAGAUAUCAAACUACAAAAUACAAGUGCAGUUGAUACCUGUUUAGAUGAUGUAGAGCAAGGUAACAGAGUAUGUAUUAAAAGCAAAAAUUCCCAUGAAGCUGAACCGUUACUCUCUGCCAAAACCUCCCACUCUCAAGUUUUAAGAGCCAAUAAACCUUGUAUCUGUACGUUCAGCUUUGCCUUUUUUUUCCCAGGACUGUAAACCUCUGUCAAGGUUUACCAUGUUUCAUUGAUUUUAUUUUUU